Molecule: ribosomal RNA, 380 nt
Filed under: Campylobacter jejuni
Lineage: Bacteria; Pseudomonadati; Campylobacterota; Epsilonproteobacteria; Campylobacterales; Campylobacteraceae
Description: partial 23S ribosomal RNA
Rfam family: Bacterial large subunit ribosomal RNA
Source: RNAcentral
CGAGGGGAAUUGAAACAUCUUAGUACCCUCAGGAAAAGAAAUCAAUAGAGAUUGCGUCAGUAGCGGCGAGCGAAAGCGCAAGAGGGCAAACCCAGUGCUUGCACUGGGGGUUGUAGGACUGCAAUGUGCAAGAGGUAAGUUUAGCAGAACAUUCUGGAAAGUAUAACCAUAGAGGGUGAUAGUCCCGUAUGCGAAAAACAAACCUUAGCUAGCAGUAUCCUGAGUAGGGCGGGACACGAGGAAUCCUGUCUGAAUCCGGGUCGACCACGAUCCAACCCUAAAUACUAAUACCAGAUCGAUAGUGCACAAGUACCGUGAGGGAAAGGUGAAAAGAACUGAGGUGAUCAGAGUGAAAUAGAACCUGAAACCAUUUGCUUACA